Molecule: ribosomal RNA, 253 nt
Filed under: uncultured bacterium
Lineage: Bacteria
Description: partial 16S ribosomal RNA
Rfam family: Bacterial small subunit ribosomal RNA
Source: RNAcentral
UACGUAGGGGGCGAGCGUUGUCCGGAAUUAUUGGGCGUAAAGAGCUCGUAGGCGGUCUGUCGCGUCGGCUGUGAAAUCCCGGGGCUUAACCCCGGGCCUGCAGUGGAUACGGGCAGGCUGGAGGCAGGCAGGGGAGGACGGAAUUCCCGGUGGAGUGGUGAAAUGCGUAGAGAUCCGGAGGAACACCAAAGGCGAAGGCAGUGUCCUGGGGAGUACCUGACGCUCAGGUGCGAAAGCCAGGGGAGCGAACGGG